RNA transcript from Amblyraja radiata (thorny skate), 1711 nucleotides. RefSeq lists it as uncharacterized. The record is from RefSeq and is a predicted model, not a curated record. NCBI's taxonomy places the organism in Eukaryota, Metazoa, Chordata, Chondrichthyes, Rajiformes, Rajidae. The transcript has 8 exons.
UUGUUCUGGGACCAUUGGCAGCUCAGGCCCGGGUGACAGGGGAACGGGCUGGAGUUGAGUAGAUGGAGCCCGGUAACAUUUGCCCAGACCAACCUUGGGUUUGCGGACUCCUCAUUACUGUGGGCAUUGUCCUGUUUCUACUCUUCCUCUUCCUCUUGUGUUGGUGGAACCGCGCGGUCUUUCUGUCUGUUCUCUCCGGUUACGGACCAUUGCGGCAAUCCCUGCGCUGCCAAGUGGAGUGUUACGGUCGAGGGAAUGUCCACACAGAUAUUGUGAGAUUACUGAACAUUUCCGUUUGUGAAAAUCCGGGGCUACCACUUGUUCUCUUUAUCUACAAAGUGUCCCGUGAAACUGUUGAUCUCCGCAACGCUCUGCUGUGGAUUGAAGAGUAUCGAGGAAGAAAGAGAGAAGACAUCUGUGCUGUGAUCCUCCUGGAGAAGUCUUCAGAUACAGACAAGCCGGUGGAAGUUGAUCACCUGGGAACGUUUGAUGAGAAAACUGCAGUUGUGAGAAUUCGGCUGAUCCCUUUUUAUGGAUCACGUGAGAAGCUUCAGAAGGGCCCCAGAACCAACAGAGCGAUGGACAUAAUCAAGCAGAGCAUCCUGGGGUGGCAGAUGGAGUGUUACGGUGAAGGGAAUGUCCACACAGAUAUUGUGAGAUUACUGAACAUUUCCAUUUGUGAAAAGCCGGGGAUCCCACUUGUUCUCUUUAUCUACAAAGUGUCCCAUGAAACUGUUGAUCUCCGCAACGCACUGCAGUGGAUUGAAGACAAACGAGGAAGAAAGAGAGAAGACAUCUGUGCUGUGAUCCUCCUGGAGAAGUCUUCAGACACAGACAAGAAGCCAGUGGAAGUUGAUCACCUGGGAACGUUUGAUGAGAAAACUGCAGUUGUGAGAAUUCGGCUGAUCCCUUUUUAUGGAUCACGUGAGAAGCUUCAGAAGGGCCCCAGAACCAACAGAGCGAUGGACAUAAUCAAACAGAGCAUCCUGGGGUGGCAGAGUGAAUACAGGUUUCAAGUGGAGUGUUACGGUCGGGGGAAUGUCCACACAGAUAUUGUGAGAUUACUGAACAUUUCCAUUUGUGAAAAGCCGGGGGAUACCACUUGUUCUCUUUAUCUACAAAGUGUCCCGUGAAACUGUUGAUCUCCGCAACGCACUGCAGUGGAUUGAAGACAAUCGAGGAAGAAAGAGAGAAGACAUCUGUGCUGUGAUCCUCCUGGAGAAGUCUUCAGAUACAGACAAGAAGCCGGUGGAAGUUGAUCACCUGGGAACGUUUGAUGAGAAAACUGCAGUUGUGAGAAUUCUCUGGGAACAUCGGCAGAUCCAUUUUUAUGGAUCACGUGAGAAGAUUCAGACGGGUCUCAGUAUCAACAGAGCGAUGGACAUAAUCAAGCAGAGCAUCCUGGGGUGGCAGAGCAGUCCUGCAGGAGGAGACGACUGAUACCCUGAUCCAUCACAGUGUGGGGAAUCUGCUGCCCAGACCCAGGCUCAAUGCUGCUGCUACUUCCCACUUCAGUCCCCACCUGCUCCGGACUGAUCGCUGAAGACAACUACUCCAGUCCUGACAGAUUCAGGUCCCAUAAACAAGCUGCAACUUCCAAUGUGUCUGUAUCCCAGUCUGGAACAAUUAUUGAACUGAAUGUGUCUUGUGUUCCCCGCUCUGAACUUUUGUAUUUGCCAAUAAUAGACAAUAAACGUGAUGGUGAACUGCA